GUGGCGGACGGGUGAGUAACGCGUGAGAAUCUGCCCUCAGGAGGGGGAUAACGGUUGGAAACGACCGCUAAUACCCCAUAUGCCGAGAGGUGAAAUGAAUUUCGCCUGAGGAUGAGCUCGCGUCUGAUUAGCUAGUUGGUGUGGUAAUGGCUCACCAAGGCGACGAUCAGUAACUGGUCUGAGAGGAUGAUCAGUCACACUGGAACUGAGACACGGUCCAGACUCC
Molecule: ribosomal RNA, 226 nt
Filed under: uncultured bacterium
Lineage: Bacteria
Description: partial 16S ribosomal RNA
Rfam family: Bacterial small subunit ribosomal RNA
Source: RNAcentral